UACGUAGGGUGCGAGCGUUGUCCGGAAUUAUUGGGCGUAAAGGGCUCGUAGGCGGUUUGUUGCGUCGGGAGUGAAAACGCCGUGCUUAACACGGCGCUUGCUUUCGAUACGGGCAGACUAGAGGUAUUCAGGGGAGAGCGGAAUUCCUGGUGUAGCGGUGAAAUGCGCAGAUAUCAGGAGGAACACCGGUGGCGAAGGCGGUUCUCUGGGAAUGACCUGACGCUGAGGAGCGAAAGUGUGGGGAGCGAACAGG
This 253-nucleotide ribosomal RNA is filed under the name uncultured bacterium. RNAcentral's name for it is "partial 16S ribosomal RNA". It matches the Rfam family "Bacterial small subunit ribosomal RNA", at positions 524 to 776 of the family's 1533-position model. The record is from RNAcentral.